CAAUAGUUCUACAUCAAUCACAAUACACAAACUGGAAUGAAAUUGCAUUCUUAUAUAAUCCAAAAAGAUUGACAAUCUAUUUGAUAUAAUCCAACGUAAAUAGAUGAGUUUAGAGAAUACCUAAGAACGGAGAACAUUGAUCUGGACACUGGGGAGGAGGAGUGGAGAAAGGAGACAGAGCGAAGAGAAGAGAUGCUAAGAUCUAAAGAUAAAAUGAAAUCCAUGUUUUGUUCAGCUGAUAUUCUUUCUAAAAUGUUUGGCCCCUCGUAUCAGGAGGGAGAAGGGUACAAUGAAGGAGAUCAGCAUAUACUAGAGAAUCCGUUUCCUCAGGAAGGAGAGGGAAGACGACCUAUUUGAUAUUUUUAUAAAAACUAUCCAAAUAUACUAUACCAAGCCAA
Molecule: long non-coding RNA, 398 nt
Organism: Eurytemora carolleeae
Lineage: Eukaryota; Metazoa; Arthropoda; Copepoda; Calanoida; Temoridae
Exons: 3
Source: RefSeq, a predicted model, not a curated record